UUCCCGCUCUAGAGUUUGAUCCUGGCUCAGGAUGAACGCUGGCGGCGUGCUUAACACAUGCAAGUCGAACGAUGAAGCCCAGCUUGCUGGGUGGAUUAGUGGCGAACGGGUGAGUAACACGUGAGUAACCUGCCCUUGACUCUGGGAUAAGCCUGGGAAACUGGGUCUAAUACCGGAUAGGAACGUCCACCGCAUGGUGGGUGUUGGAAAGAUUUAUCGGUCAUGGAUGGACUCGCGGCCUAUCAGCUUGUUGGUGAGGUAAUGGCUCACCAAGGCGACGACGGGUAGCCGGCCUGAGAGGGUGACCGGCCACACUGGGACUGAGACACGGCCCAGACUCCUACGGGAGGCAGCAGUGGGGAAUAUUGCACAAUGGGCGAAAGCCUGAUGCAGCGACGCCGCGUGAGGGAUGACGGCCUUCGGGUUGUAAACCUCUUUCAGUAGGGAAGAAGCGAAAGUGACGGUACCUGCAGAAGAAGCACCGGCUAACUACGUGCCAGCAGCCGCGGUAAUACGUAGGGUGCGAGCGUUAUCCGGAAUUAUUGGGCGUAAAGAGCUCGUAGGCGGUUUGUCGCGUCUGUCGUGAAAGUCCGGGGCUUAACCCCGGAUCUGCGGUGGGUACGGGCAGACUAGAGUGCAGUAGGGGAGACUGGAAUUCCUGGUGUAGCGGUGGAAUGCGCAGAUAUCAGGAGGAACACCGAUGGCGAAGGCAGGUCUCUGGGCUGUAACUGACGCUGAGGAGCGAAAGCAUGGGGAGCGAACAGGAUUAGAUACCCUGGUAGUCCAUGCCGUAAACGUUGGGCACUAGGUGUGGGGACCAUUCCACGGUUUCCGCGCCGCAGCUAACGCAUUAAGUGCCCCGCCUGGGGAGUACCGGCCGCAAGGCUAAAACUCAAAGGAAUUGACGGGGGCCCGCACAAGCGGCGGAGCAUGCGGAUUAAUUCGAUGCAACGCGAAGAACCUUACCAAGGCUUGACAUGUUCUCGAUCGCCGUAGAGAUACGGUUUCCCCUUUGGGGCGGGAUCACAGGUGGUGCAUGGUUGUCGUCAGCUCGUGUCGUGAGAUGUUGGGUUAAGUCCCGCAACGAGCGCAACCCUCGUUCCAUGUUGCCAGCACGUAAUGGUGGGGACUCAUGGGAGACUGCCGGGGUCAACUCGGAGGAAGGUGGGGACGACGUCAAAUCAUCAUGCCCCUUAUGUCUUGGGCUUCACGCAUGCUACAAUGGCCGGUACAAUGGGUUGCGAUACUGUGAGGUGGAGCUAAUCCCAAAAAGCCGGUCUCAGUUCGGAUUGGGGUCUGCAACUCGACCCCAUGAAGUCGGAGUCGCUAGUAAUCGCAGAUCAGCAACGCUGCGGUGAAUACGUUCCCGGGCCUUGCACACACCGCCCGUC
RNAcentral lists this ribosomal RNA (1391 nucleotides) under Micrococcus endophyticus. RNAcentral's name for it is "bacterial SSU rRNA". It matches the Rfam family "Bacterial small subunit ribosomal RNA". The record is from RNAcentral. Lineage: Bacteria; Bacillati; Actinomycetota; Actinomycetes; Micrococcales; Micrococcaceae.